CGUCGGUGUGAAAGAUUAUGAUCUCGAACCUCAAGUUUUUCCUCAUUCGCGCGCGCUAUCCUUGCCCUAUUUCCAUGGACUAGUAAUUAAAU
Molecule: non-coding RNA, 92 nt
Organism: Caenorhabditis elegans
Lineage: Eukaryota; Metazoa; Nematoda; Chromadorea; Rhabditida; Rhabditidae
Source: Ensembl